CUCACCGCCCGUCACAUCACUUGAAGUCUGUUGCUCCCGAAGUCGCUGGCCGAACCCGUGAGGGACGGAGGCGCCGAAGGAGUGGCCGGUGAGAGGGGUG
Molecule: ribosomal RNA, 100 nt
Filed under: uncultured bacterium
Lineage: Bacteria
Description: partial 16S ribosomal RNA
Source: RNAcentral